UCCGGUUGAUCCUGCCGGACCCCACUGCUAUCGGGAUAGGACUAAGACAUGCUAGUCGAGUGGCUCAGCCAAUACGAGCCACGGCAUACAGCUCAGUAACACGUGGCUAAUCUGCCCUUAGGACGAGAACAACCCCGGGAAACUGGGGCUAACUCUCGAUAGGCGAAGAACUCUGGAAUGAGUCUUCACCCAAAUAGUUCAGCGUUACGCUCGUUGAACCGCCUAAGGAUGAGGCCGCGACCGAUCAGGUUGUUGGUGAGGUAAUGGCUCACCAAGCCUUUUACCGGUGCGGGCCGUGAGAGCGGGAGCCCGGAGAUGGGCACUGAGACAAGGGCCCAGGCCCUACGGGGCGCAGCAGUCGCGAAAACUUUGCAAUACACGAAAGUGUGACAGGGCUAUCCCGAGUGCCAUCCGCUGAGGAAGGCUUUUUACCCAGUCUAGAAAGCUGGGGGAAUAAGGAGAGGGCAAGUCUGGUGUCAGCCGCCGCGGUAAUACCAGCUCUCCGAGUGGUGUGGAUGUUUAUUGGGCCUAAAGCAUCCGUAGCUGGCUAAGUUAGUCCCUUGUUAAAUCCACCGAAUUAAUCGUUGGAUUGCGGGGGAUACUGCUUAGCUAGGGGACGAGAGAGGCAGACGGUAUUUCCGGGGUAGGGGUGAAAUCCUAUAAUCCCGGGGAAGACCACCAGUGGCGAAGGCUGUCUGCUAGAACGCGCCCGACGGUGAGGGAUGAAAGCUGGGGGAGCGAACCGGAUUAGAUACCCGGGUAGUCCCAGCUGUAAACGAUGCAAACUAGGUGUUUGAACGGCCACGUGCCGUUCUAGUGCCGCAGGGAAGCUGUUAAGUUUGCCGCCUGGGGAGUACGAUCGCAAGAUUGAAACUUAAAGGAAUUGGCGGGGGAGCACCACAAGGGGUGAAGCUUGCGGUUUAAUUGGAGUCAACGCCGGAAAUCUCACCGGGAGCGACAGCAGUGUGAAGGCCAGAUUAAAGGUCUUGCCAGACGAGCUGAGAGGAGGUGCAUGGCCGUCGCCAGUUCGUGCCGUGAGGUGUCCUGUUA
Molecule: ribosomal RNA, 1050 nt
Filed under: unidentified archaeon
Lineage: Archaea
Description: bacterial SSU rRNA
Rfam family: Archaeal small subunit ribosomal RNA
Source: RNAcentral